Molecule: ribosomal RNA, 254 nt
Filed under: uncultured bacterium
Lineage: Bacteria
Description: partial 16S ribosomal RNA
Rfam family: Bacterial small subunit ribosomal RNA
Source: RNAcentral
UACGGGGGGGGCAAGCGUUGUUCGGAAUUACUGGGCGUAAAGGGCUCGUAGGCGGCCAACUAAGUCGGAUGUGAAAUCCCCAGGCUUAACCUGGGAACUGCAUCCGAUACUGGAUGGCUUGAAUCCGGGAGAGGGAUGCAGAAUUCCAGGUGUAGCGGUGAAAUGCGUAGAUAUCUGGAGGAAUACCGGUGGCGAAGGCGGCAUCCUGGACCGGCAUUGACGCUGAGUGGGCGAAAGCCAGGGGAGCAAACGGG